RNAcentral lists this ribosomal RNA (1372 nucleotides) under uncultured bacterium. RNAcentral describes it as "bacterial SSU rRNA". It matches the Rfam family "Bacterial small subunit ribosomal RNA", at positions 28 to 1381 of the family's 1533-position model. The record is from RNAcentral.
GAUGAACGCUGGCGGCGUGCCUAAUACAUGCAAGUCGAGCGAACGGACGAGAAGCUUGCUUCUCUGAUGUUAGCGGCGGACGGGUGAGUAACACGUGGAUAACCUACCUAUAAGACUGGGAUAACUUCGGGAAACCGGAGCUAAUACCGGAUAAUAUUUUGAACCGCAUGGUUCAAAAGUGAAAGACGGUCUUGCUGUCACUUAUAGAUGGAUCCGCGCUGCAUUAGCUAGUUGGUAAGGUAACGGCUUACCAAGGCAACGAUGCAUAGCCGACCUGAGAGGGUGAUCGGCCACACUGGAACUGAGACACGGUCCAGACUCCUACGGGAGGCAGCAGUAGGGAAUCUUCCGCAAUGGGCGAAAGCCUGACGGAGCAACGCCGCGUGAGUGAUGAAGGUCUUCGGAUCGUAAAACUCUGUUAUUGGGGAAGAACAUAUGUGUAAGUAACUGUGCACAUCUUGACGGUACCUAAUCAGAAAGCCACGGCUAACUACGUGCCAGCAGCCGCGGUAAUACGUAGGUGGCAAGCGUUAUCCGGAAUUAUUGGGCGUAAAGCGCGCGUAGGCGGUUUUUUAAGUCUGAUGUGAAAGCCCACGGCUCAACCGUGGAGGGUCAUUGGAAACUGGAAAACUUGAGUGCAGAAGAGGAAAGUGGAAUUCCAUGUGUAGCGGUGAAAUGCGCAGAGAUAUGGAGGAACACCAGUGGCGAAGGCGACUUUCUGGUCUGUAACUGACGCUGAUGUGCGAAAGCGUGGGGAUCAAACAGGAUUAGAUACCCUGGUAGUCCACGCCGUAAACGAUGAGUGCUAAGUGUUAGGGGGUUUCCGCCCCUUAGUGCUGCAGCUAACGCAUUAAGCACUCCGCCUGGGGAGUACGACCGCAAGGUUGAAACUCAAAGGAAUUGACGGGGACCCGCACAAGCGGUGGAGCAUGUGGUUUAAUUCGAAGCAACGCGAAGAACCUUACCAAAUCUUGACAUCCUUUGACAACUCUAGAGAUAGAGCUUUCCCCUUCGGGGGACAAAGUGACAGGUGGUGCAUGGUUGUCGUCAGCUCGUGUCGUGAGAUGUUGGGUUAAGUCCCGCAACGAGCGCAACCCUUAAGCUUAGUUGCCAUCAUUAAGUUGGGCACUCUAAGUUGACUGCCGGUGACAAACCGGAGGAAGGUGGGGAUGACGUCAAAUCAUCAUGCCCCUUAUGAUUUGGGCUACACACGUGCUACAAUGGACAAUACAAAGGGCAGCGAAACCGCGAGGUCAAGCAAAUCCCAUAAAGUUGUUCUCAGUUCGGAUUGUAGUCUGCAACUCGACUACAUGAAGCUGGAAUCGCUAGUAAUCGUAGAUCAGCAUGCUACGGUGAAUACGUUCCCGGGUCU